Molecule: ribosomal RNA, 775 nt
Filed under: uncultured Neocallimastigales
Lineage: Eukaryota; Fungi; Neocallimastigomycota; Neocallimastigomycetes; Neocallimastigales
Description: partial large subunit ribosomal RNA
Rfam family: Eukaryotic large subunit ribosomal RNA
Source: RNAcentral
AGAUGCGAGAGUAGAGCAUACAAUAAGCGGAGGAAAAGAAACUAACUAGGAUUCCCUCAGUAACGGCGAGUGAAGCGGGAAGAGCUCAAAUUUGAAAUCUUCAAGGUUUUACCUUGACGAAUUGUAGUUUAAAGAAGUGUUUUCUGUUAGAGUGUUAGGUAAAAGUUCUUUGGAAUAGGACAUCAUAGAGGGUGAGAAUCCCGUAUUUGACCUAUUACUUUCUAGCGUUGUGAUACACUUUCAAAGAGUCGGAUUGUUUGGGAAUGCAGUCCAAAAUGGGUGGUAAAUUUCAUCUAAAGCUAAAUAUUGGCGAGAGACCGAUAGCGAACAAGUACCGUGAGGGAAAGAUGAAAAGAACUUUGAAAAGAGAGUUAAACAGUACGUGAAAUUGUCAAAAGGGAAGCGUUUGACACCAGUGUUGUUUUUCCGAAAAUCAAUUAAAAAUUGAUUCAUGCCAGGUUGUAUUGACCUUAUCAGCUUGCAAUUUGGUUUUAGGUCUCUUUUUGAUGCACUUUUCGGUUAACAAGUCAACAUCAAUUUCCUUUGCUGUAAAAAGGUAAGAGGAAGGUGGCUUCAAUUUCGGUUGAAGUGUUUAUAGCCUUUUAUCUCUGCAGUCGGGGAGAUUGAGGUCUGCAGCGUAGAUCCUUCGGGGCUAGAUACAUUUAUGCUAAGUUAUAGCUUUUCAUAGACAACUUGUUGACUAUGUUUAGUCAUGUAGCUUACUCGUAAGUGCUAUUUUACCUACGCUUAGGAUGUUGACACACGCGCGUGCUCG